AUUGAACGCUGGCGGCAUGCCUUACACAUGCAAGUCGAACGGCAGCACGGGUGCUUGCACCUGGUGGCGAGUGGCGAACGGGUGAGUAAUACAUCGGAACAUGUCCUGUAGUGGGGGAUAGCCCGGCGAAAGCCGGAUUAAUACCACAUACGAUCUACGGAUGAAAGCGGGGGACCUUCGGGCCUCGCGCUAUAGGGUUGGCCGAUGGCUGAUUAGCUAGUUGGUGGGGUAAAGGCCUACCAAGGCGACGAUCAGUAGCUGGUCUGAGAGGACGACCAGCCACACUGGGACUGAGACACGGCCCAGACUCCUACGGGAGGCAGCAGUGGGGAAUUUUGGACAAUGGGCGAAAGCCUGAUCCAGCAAUGCCGCGUGUGUGAAGAAGGCCUUCGGGUUGUAAAGCACUUUUGUCCGGAAAGAAAUCCUUGGCUCUAAUACAGUCGGGGGAUGACGGUACCGGAAGAAUAAGCACCGGCUAACUACGUG
Molecule: ribosomal RNA, 486 nt
Filed under: uncultured bacterium
Lineage: Bacteria
Description: partial 16S ribosomal RNA
Rfam family: Bacterial small subunit ribosomal RNA
Source: RNAcentral